RNAcentral lists this ribosomal RNA (330 nucleotides) under Triticum aestivum (bread wheat). RNAcentral describes it as "partial small subunit ribosomal RNA". Lineage: Eukaryota; Viridiplantae; Streptophyta; Magnoliopsida; Poales; Poaceae. The record is from RNAcentral.
AUGGGGAGAGGGUUCAGAGUAGGGGUGGCGGGGGCGUUUAAGUUGUACUGGCAGUCUGCCAUCGGCAGGGCCCUCAUGGAGACACUGGACGAGAUGGUCCUUAGCCCCGAUCUUGCCAUCAGCGUCCAAGUACAGUUCGACGAGUUCAUGAGCAGUGGACAACCAGCUCAAGAGCAAGGCCUUUUUCAAGGUUAUUCAUAUAUGUUCGCGAUGGCUCCGUAUGUGGUCUAUUCUGCAAAGGCCGGAGGACAUAGACCUUUUUAUGAUGGCUUCUACUCGGCUAGAGCGUUCGGCCAGGGAGAUUUUUUACCCCCAUGGAUGGCGGUGUGA